Homo sapiens (human) is the source of this 3713-nucleotide long non-coding RNA. The record is from Ensembl. Lineage: Eukaryota; Metazoa; Chordata; Mammalia; Primates; Hominidae.
AUAGAAUGACCACAACCAUAUUAACAAACCAAAAACCUGUGCACAGAAACAAGAUGAAGAAAAUAUAUCAAGAUGUUAACCACACUCUUUGGAUGGUGAAAACAUGGGUGAGUUUCUCUUCUACAUUUCUGUAACUUCAAAGUUUCUAUAAUGAACACAUUUCAUAUAUAAUGGAAAUAUAUGUAGUAAAGGUGGACUACCAAAACACUAGAAUGAUGACCUUUCAAGGAAACCGAAACAAAAUAACCAUAAUCCCACAACAACCACACAACUAUUUCUUGUUUUUCAUCUUUCUUCCCAUCUUUGACAUUUAUGCAUACUUAUCACUAACACCCUAAUAAUCACAGACUAGUGCACAGAUCAAGAUGUUAACAGUUAAUUGUUGUUGGGUGUUGGGAAUAUGUGUGAAUUUUCUUUACUGAAUUUCCAAAGUUUUGUAUGAGUAUGUAUUAUAUUUGUAAUGGAAAAUACAUACAUAAAAUUUAUUACCAAAACACCAAAGAUUAUUUAAGGAAUUUGAGACAAAAUAUUUAACCAAAUUCCCACAAUGACAACACUAUUUUAGUUAUUUUCCACAUCUUUUCAUUUAAGACUUUAUGCACACAUAUUUAACACUGUUAUCACAAGCGUGUGCACUGAAACAAGAUAGAGGAAACAGAUCAAGAUGUUAGCAGUAGUUGUUAGGUGUUGGGAAUAUAGGUAAUUUUUUAAAAUAAUUUACUUUAUUUUCUAAUUUUUCCUCUGGGUAUGUAUUAUGCACACCAAUGGAGACACACAUAAUACACUGUUAUCAGGACAUUAUUAUAGGGAACAUUUGAAAAAAUUAAAGUGAAAGUAUUUAACCAUAAUUCCACAAAGGUAAUGUAACAGCUAUUUUGAAUAUACAUUUUGACACAGUUAUAAUCAUAAACCUGUGCACAGAAACAAGAAUGAACAAGAUAAGAGGAGAGUAUAUGUCUUUGGAUGGUGGGGAUAUGAUUUUUUUUCCUCCACUUUUCUGUAUUUUCCAAGUGUGUGAUAAUGAGUUCAAAUUAUGUUCACAAUGAAAAUGUGAUCAUAAACUUUUUAGUAACACUACCAUAAAGAACAUUCAAGAAAUUUAAGAAAAUAAUGCUCAACUAUAAGCCUACAACAACAACACCACAACAGCUUUUGACUAUAAGCAUAUAUAUUUUUAAACAGUUAUAAUGAACUGUUUAAAUGAACUGUUAAAUGAACAGCAUAUAAAUGAACUGUUGAGUUAUAACUGUAGUAUAAAUAUACUUUCGUGUCCUGCUUUCUCCACUUAAUGUUCUGUAAAUAUAUUUCCACGUUGCUACAUAACUCGUGAUUAUCAUUUUUAAACAGUUGCAUUAAGUGUCCACAGAUAGGUUUAAACAAUCAUUCUCUUGUUUACCAUUUGUUACUACCUUUUCACUAGCUGAAGGUUGGAACGGACACCCUGACUUACAGCAAGUUGCUUUCUGAAAAGGGGCUACCACUGCCAACAAUGUUAACACCAAGUAAUGUACCCACAAAGUUCACCCCGACAUCAACACUGAUUCUCGUUUCAAGAGUCCUUUUCCCAUGUAGUAAACCUCACUGCCCCUCAGCUUUCCCGAUGUCCGUUCCAACCUCAGUCCUUCCUAUGCAGCCAGCCCUCACCUACACCAUACCAUCAAAAACUCCUUUUCCAAACUGCUCAGGACACCCCGCUCAAUUCAUUCUCAGAAACCUGGCCUUCUACAGUUCUUGCCUCUGGUGUUUUCUUCUGUCUGUCUCCUCUCCCCUCCUAGAUCUGGUGAUAUAUUAGGACUCCCUUCUUUGACUCACUCAUUUCUGCUUCUUGCUCUCAGCUCUACAAUCUUCCUAAACUUUGACACUCCCUGCAUCUUUGACAUACUUCCAAGCCCUAAUCCUGCAGAUCCAGAAGAGUAAGAUUCAGACACAUUUCCCCCAGUGGGUACUUUAAUUUUGCUUGUUCAAAUGAUCUACACUUACAUUUUGCAAAUCUUUUUUUUUAAAUUUUUUAAAUUUUAUAUUUUUUUUCCAGCCAACUCAAGGCCAAAAAAAAUUUCUUAAUAUAGUUAUUAUGCGAGGGGAGGGGAAGCAAAGGAGCACAGGUAGUCCACAGAAUAGGACACAAGAAACCUCAAGCUGUGAGGUCAAUUUGUAAUUAAAAGAAUACUAAGAUUAGAUGAACACAACACUCAGAAAUACUCUAGGAGAGCUGAAAAAGAAGGAACAGAUGUUAACAAAACAAAUUAAGGCUGCUGGGGAACCUGAGUCCAUGUUAAGCUUGGGUUGACUGUAAAGAAUUUUUUUUUUUUUAAUGCAAGUUAGACAUGGAGUUAGAGGGUCAGAUAAAUAACGAAGAGAAUUAAGUUAGCGAUAGAAAGAUCUAAGGAUACUAGCUCCUGGGCACCUAGGGUGCAAACUGACUUGUGGCAGCAUAAGCUGAUGCUGCACAGGGGACCCAAGCCAUGUUGCUACUUGUCACUUAAGGCAGGAAGCGCACAAAGGAAGUGAUGAAAGGUUAUUAGCCUGCAACAUUAUUUACAGCAUGAGAGCCUCUCCUACGGUUCUCAACCUUCAUUAGGCACUACUGUGAUCUAGUGAUGGUUGUAACCCAUUCUUUAAAGGCAAAGAUGUAAGAUUUACAGGGAAAAGCUUCGGGUUUUAUCAAUUCACUAUCAUCAAACACAUAUUGAGUUGGUUAAAAAAAAAAAAAACCCAGAACACAAAUGUGUAAUAUUUUUGCAUGAGAACCACUUCAACAAACAUAACAUGUGGCAACCAAUCAAUCUGGGUCACAAAAAGCCAAUCCGUAUAUUGUAAAGCCUUACACAGUAUUAGGUUCCAAAGUGUUGGCGCAGAUGAAAUGGCUGCAGAAAGAAGCUAAAGUACUUAUCUUUUCAAACAGUAAGGAGUAAAAGCCAUGUUAUCUAUCAUGCCUACAGCUUCACAAGACUAUUUAAGGGUAAGAAACAAAACAAUUACUCAAAAAGAUAUUGACAGGGUUCAAAUAAUGCACAAUAAAUCUUUCUCAGGAUCUAAGACACUUAAAAAUAUAAUCAAAUUUGUUGCUCUCUUCCUCCUCCAAAAAAAAAAAAAAUUCAAAGAAUACCAGGUAAGGUACCUCUGCAGAGUAAACUGUAACUGUAUAUCAUAUAAAUCCAAAUAUAUGUGAUCACUGUUCUGUCAUAAUUUGCUAUUUUAUAUACACCUCAUGAAACACUAUAUAUACGUUACACAAGUGUCAUUUACAGUUGAUUUGGGCAAACUCUGUAGUCUGGAAUACUCAUAGGGUUUUCUCAAUCUGAUUACUUGGAAAGGUAAGAUGUGUGCUAUGGCUUUCCCACAUGCAGACACUGACAUCUGAAGGGGAAAGCUUAAGACUGUGGAAUCUGCACAUUCGGUCUCUUUUCAAUCUGAGUUUAGAGAUGUUAAGUCAGGUGUGUAACACACUAAGGUUAAGUCUCCUACUGACAUUAUCAUGGAUUGGUUUGGAUUCUCUGUGGUUUGGUAAGGGUCAAGUCCUAGGUGAAGGUUUUCUAACCUUUACCCCAUGCCCUCAGCCAGUGUGGGUAUUCUGGUGUCUGGCGAGGGACAGGCGGUCAUUGAAGAGCUGCCCACAGACGUCACAUUUGAAGUACUUCUCAUCAGCUUGAUUGGCACCACCUGUGCUGGUGCUGGCACGUUCGAUGUAGCCUGAGCACUCCCCAAAGGCAUUU